This 137-nucleotide unclassified non-coding RNA is filed under the name fungal sp. RNAcentral's name for it is "partial internal transcribed spacer region". Lineage: Eukaryota; Fungi. The record is from RNAcentral.
AAGUCGUAACAAGGUGUCCGUAGCUUUGCCAAAGGGUCCCCAUGCCCCCUAAUAACCCCACAGUUUAAUGUGAAGCUCAAUGUAAUACAUUGGGUAAAAAAACCGAACAACUGGUAACAAUGGAUAUCUUGGCUCUC